This 460-nucleotide ribosomal RNA is filed under the name uncultured bacterium. RNAcentral describes it as "partial 16S ribosomal RNA". It matches the Rfam family "Bacterial small subunit ribosomal RNA", at positions 338 to 795 of the family's 1533-position model. The record is from RNAcentral.
CCUACGGGAGGCAGCAGUGAGGAAUAUUGGUCAAUGGUCGGGAGACUGAACCAGCCAAGCCGCGUGAGGGAGGAAGGUACAGAGUAUCGUAAACCUCUUUUGUCAGGGAACAAAGACUGGGACGCGUCCCCGGAUGAGUGUACCUGAAGAAAAAGCAUCGGCUAACUCCGUGCCAGCAGCCGCGGUAAUACGGAGGAUGCGAGCGUUAUCCGGAUUUAUUGGGUUUAAAGGGUGCGCAGGCGGUCUGAUAAGUCAUCGGUCAAAGUCGGGGGCUCAACCCCGGCCCGCCGUUGAAACUGGCAGUCUCGAGUUGGAGAGAAGUAUGCGGAAUGCGCGGUGGAGCGGUGAAAUGCAUAGAUAUAGAGCAGAAAUCCGAUUGCGAAGGCAGCAUGCCGGCUCCACACUGACGCUGAGGCACGAAAGCGUGGGUAUCGAACAGGAUUAGAUACCCCUGGUAGUC